Molecule: long non-coding RNA, 829 nt
Filed under: Setaria italica (foxtail millet)
Lineage: Eukaryota; Viridiplantae; Streptophyta; Magnoliopsida; Poales; Poaceae
Description: long non-coding RNA (SITA_LNC004086)
Source: RNAcentral
GCCAGUUAGUUUUGUUACAUAAUGAUGCCUUUUUAGGUCUUCUACAAUGAAGAUCAAAUGGAACGAGUAUGUCAUUCAGACUACAAUCACUCUUGUGCAUUAUAUAGUUAUGAAGGAAAAAUAAAAUUGUUAUAUUGAUGCUCCAGGUGCAAAUAUAGAGAACAUACUGGCAUACUGAAACCAGGGAGAGGACAGUAAUCUAAGCAUAGCACCGUAGCAAAUUUCAGUAAUAUUACGAGAAAUUGGUAGUAGGCAAUUCAGAAAGCUAUACUUAUGAUUUAUUUAUCUCAUUCACAUGGAUGCAGCUAUUUAAGUUUCAGGAUACAGACAGACAGACAGCCAGACAUACACACAUCCCCACUUUGCAUUCAAAAUUGAGUCUGAAAAUUGAUCUUGAGGUCAUAGGUUGUGGAGCUGACAGUUGGAAAAGAAAAUGCAUGUGACAUGUGUAAGGUGAUGAAGGUGACAAGAAUAACCCAUGGUAACUAUUUGCUCAGCUUAAUCCUCCUUCCUGUACAUCCAAAACAUCUACUUUCAGUACUUCUGUAGUAGUUGAACUUUGAGACGGCCAUGUAUUUGCCUAUUUGGCAAAUGUGACAGGAAAUGUUAGCCCAUAGGAAGUUGUCAAAGCGUCGCAGAAGAUUGAGGAAACAGCAACUUGCUGCGGCGAGAUAGAGAGCUGAUCUGUUCUCUUGAUUUGAUUUAUUGAUUUCUUGGCUGCCUGAUUUUCUUUGGCCUUUUACCUGGCAGCUACAUUAUAUUGGGAUUGCAAUUGUAAAUUCAGAGAUCAGAAUAUGUACCAGAUGUCUAAAAUUAAAGUUCUCCAAAA